This 257-nucleotide unclassified non-coding RNA is filed under the name Xylariales sp. RNAcentral's name for it is "partial contains 5.8S ribosomal RNA, internal transcribed spacer 2, and large subunit ribosomal RNA". The record is from RNAcentral. Lineage: Eukaryota; Fungi; Ascomycota; Sordariomycetes; Xylariales.
CGCACAUUGCGCCCGCCAGUAUUCUGGCGGGCAUGCCUGUUCGAGCGUCAUUUCAACCCUUAAGCCUCUGUCGCUUAGCGUUGGGAGACUGCUAGGAUGUCCUUGCAGCUCCCUAAAUUCAGUGGCGGAGUAGGUCUUCACCCCAGACGUAGUAGCUAUUACAUCGCCUGUGGUAUAGGCUCUCUCUUGCCGUAAAAAUGCCCUAAAAAGCACUAUAGGUUGACCUCGGAUCAGGUAGGAAUACCCGCUGAACUUAA